Molecule: non-coding RNA, 176 nt
Filed under: Leptonema sp. (in: bacteria)
Lineage: Bacteria; Pseudomonadati; Spirochaetota; Leptospiria; Leptospirales; Leptospiraceae
Description: 6S RNA
Rfam family: 6S / SsrS RNA
About the family: E. coli 6S RNA was the first non coding RNA to be sequenced, but its function was unknown until recently. It consists of 184 nucleotides that fold into an extended hairpin structure with a large single-stranded internal bulge.
Source: RNAcentral
UUGGUUCUGCCUCGUUCGUGAUGUUUUUCCCGGACCAGAAUGAAUACCAGAGGGAUCCUGCGUUCAGUUAAUGAUAUCAUGCUUCUUUUAUUUGAAGUAGAUAGAUUUAAUUGGUAGGGAACCCACUUAGAAAUAAGGCCUCUGGGAUCCUCCAAUAACGGCGAGGCGGUUCCACC